This 216-nucleotide ribosomal RNA is filed under the name uncultured Alphaproteobacteria bacterium. RNAcentral describes it as "partial 16S ribosomal RNA". It matches the Rfam family "Bacterial small subunit ribosomal RNA", at positions 29 to 273 of the family's 1533-position model. The record is from RNAcentral. Lineage: Bacteria; Pseudomonadati; Pseudomonadota; Alphaproteobacteria.
AAUGAACGCUGGCGGCAUGCCUAACACAUGCAAGUCGAACGAGAUCUUCGGAUCUAGUGGCGCACGGGUGAGUAACGCGUGGGAACCUACCUUUUAGUACGGGACAACGUUUGGAAACGAACGCUAAUACCGUAUACGCCCUCCGGGGAAAGGCUUGCCGCUAAAAGAGGGGCCCGCGUCUGAUUAGCUUGUUGGUAAGGUAAUGGCUUACCAAGG